This 701-nucleotide ribosomal RNA is filed under the name Staphylococcus aureus. RNAcentral describes it as "partial 23S ribosomal RNA". It matches the Rfam family "Bacterial large subunit ribosomal RNA", at positions 1513 to 2211 of the family's 2925-position model. Lineage: Bacteria; Bacillati; Bacillota; Bacilli; Caryophanales; Staphylococcaceae. The record is from RNAcentral.
UAAGCAGUAAGGCUGAGUAUUAGGCAAAUCCGGUACUCGUUAAGGCUGAGCUGUGAUGGGGAGAAGACAUUGUGUCUUCGAGUCGUUGAUUUCACACUGCCGAGAAAAGCCUCUAGAUAGAAAAUAGGUGCCCGUACCGCAAACCGACACAGGUAGUCAAGAUGAGAAUUCUAAGGUGAGCGAGCGAACUCUCGUUAAGGAACUCGGCAAAAUGACCCCGUAACUUCGGGAGAAGGGGUGCUCUUUAGGGUUAACGCCCAGAAGAGCCGCAGUGAAUAGGCCCAAGCGACUGUUUAUCAAAAACACAGGUCUCUGCUAAACCGUAAGGUGAUGUAUAGGGGCUGACGCCUGCCCGGUGCUGGAAGGUUAAGAGGAGUGGUUAGCUUCUGCGAAGCUACGAAUCGAAGCCCCAGUAAACGGCGGCCGUAACUAUAACGGUCCUAAGGUAGCGAAAUUCCUUGUCGGGUAAGUUCCGACCCGCACGAAAGGCGUAACGAUUUGGGCACUGUCUCAACGAGAGACUCGGUGAAAUCAUAGUACCUGUGAAGAUGCAGGUUACCCGCGACAGGACGGAAAGACCCCGUGGAGCUUUACUGUAGCCUGAUAUUGAAAUUCGGCACAGCUUGUACAGGAUAGGUAGGAGCCUUUGAAACGUGAGCGCUAGCUUACGUGGAGGCGCUGGUGGGAUACUACCCUAGCUG